RNAcentral lists this transfer RNA (48 nucleotides) under Eoscarta sp. 1 QW-2021. Its description in RNAcentral is "partial tRNA-Leu". The record is from RNAcentral. Lineage: Eukaryota; Metazoa; Arthropoda; Insecta; Hemiptera; Cercopidae.
CAAUGAAUUUAAGAUUUAUUUAUAAGAAUUUUUAUUUCUUUUUUAGAA